This 348-nucleotide ribosomal RNA is filed under the name Triticum aestivum (bread wheat). RNAcentral's name for it is "partial small subunit ribosomal RNA". The record is from RNAcentral. Lineage: Eukaryota; Viridiplantae; Streptophyta; Magnoliopsida; Poales; Poaceae.
AUGUCGGUGUUAAGCCGGGCAUCGGUCACCUACCGGACGGCCUCCCCCACCCACCGACGCCUUCCUUUAAAACGCCGCUCGUCGCCCCGUCUGCCUCCCUCCAGUCCACUCGACGCGCCUCGAUCCGCUCACCCCACCCACCGACGAGCUCCCUUUCCCGGCGGCCUCCAUGGUGUCCGAUGGCGGCGGCGGCGGCUGCAGAUCGUGGCCGACGAGCCUGGGCACGCCGGAGAGAGACGAGCUCAUCCGUCUCGGAUUGAUGGUGCCGCCGGGCUGCCGUCUUCCUCAUGCGUUCCACAUCACCGCCGACGGGUACCCGACGAGGGGGCCCGGGGCGAACCCGGAUGA